RNAcentral lists this non-coding RNA (188 nucleotides) under Prevotella corporis. Lineage: Bacteria; Pseudomonadati; Bacteroidota; Bacteroidia; Bacteroidales; Prevotellaceae. The record is from RNAcentral.
CAUUAUGAAAUAAUAAAAGAUGUCACGAACUAUGCGGUUAAAGGGAAUCCGGUGUGAAUCCGGAACAGUACCUGCUGCUGUAAGUCCUAAUUAUUAUCGCUGCACAAAACCAUUGGUUGCACCAACAACUGAGAAGGAGCAGAGAGAUAGGGAUAAGUCAGAAUACCUGUUCACCAAUCAAGAAAGCU